GGGGGGUGCGAGCGUUGUCCGGAAUCACUGGGCGUAAAGGGCGCGUAGGUGGUUUGAUAAGGGUGUGGUGAAAGUCCGGGGCUCAACCCCGGAUCUGCCGUGCCGACUGUCAAACUCGAGGGCUGUAGAGGCAGACGGAAUUCCGGGUGUAGCGGUGGAAUGCGUAGAGAUCCGGAGGAAGACCGGUGGCGAAGGCGGUCUGCUGGGCAGUUUCUGACACUGAGGCGCGACAGCGUGGGGAGCAAACAGGAUUAGAUACCCUGGUAGUCCACGCCGUAAACGAUGGGUACUAGGUGCCUGGGGGAGCGACCCUCUKGGGUGCCGGCGCUAACGCMAGGAAGWCCCCCGCCCKGGGGAGKWMSRACCGCMAGGGUUG
RNAcentral lists this ribosomal RNA (376 nucleotides) under uncultured bacterium. Its description in RNAcentral is "partial 16S ribosomal RNA". It matches the Rfam family "Bacterial small subunit ribosomal RNA", at positions 527 to 873 of the family's 1533-position model. The record is from RNAcentral.